Molecule: long non-coding RNA, 223 nt
Filed under: Homo sapiens (human)
Lineage: Eukaryota; Metazoa; Chordata; Mammalia; Primates; Hominidae
Description: non-protein coding lnc-ARFIP1-1:3
Source: RNAcentral
AGAGACAGACAGAUGGAGAGAGGGGUAGUGUUGAGGCAUCAGACACAUCUCAUCUCUAAACCUUUCCCUGCAGAUCACCAUCUGAGUCAUGACUUCCCGUCGUUUGUCUUCAGUGAUCUGGUUGGUGCAAACGUAUGAGCAUCAGACACAUCUCAUCUCUAAACCUUUCCCUGCAGAUCACCAUCUGAGUCAUGACUUCCCGUCGUUUGUCUUCAGUGAUCUG